ACCUGGAUGGCUUAGUUGGUGGAGCAUGAGACUCUGAAUCUCGGGUUGUAAGUUCGAGUCCCACAUUGGGCA
RNAcentral lists this transfer RNA (72 nucleotides) under Canis lupus familiaris (dog). It matches the Rfam family "tRNA". From Rfam's summary of the family: Transfer RNA (tRNA) molecules are approximately 80 nucleotides in length. RNAcentral also lists the same sequence under 1 other name. The record is from Rfam by way of RNAcentral. Lineage: Eukaryota; Metazoa; Chordata; Mammalia; Carnivora; Canidae.